GUGUCAGCAGCCGCGGUAAUACGUAGGGUGCGAGCGUUAAUCGGAAUUACUGGGCGUAAAGCGUGCGCAGGCGGUUGUGUAAGACAGGUGUGAAAUCCCCGGGCUUAACCUGGGAACUGCGCUUGUGACUGCACAGCUAGAGUAUGGCAGAGGGGGGUGGAAUUCCACGUGUAGCAGUGAAAUGCGUAGAGAUGUGGAGGAACACCGAUGGCGAAGGCAGCCCCCUGGGCCAAUACUGACGCUCAUGCACGAAAGCGUGGGGAGCAAACAGGAUUAGAUACCCUGGUAGUCCACGCCCUAAACGAUGUCGACUAGGUGUUCGGUGAGGAGACUCAUUGAGUACCGCAGCUAACGCGUGAAGUCGACCGCCUGGGGAGUACGGUCGCAAGAUUAAAACUUAAAUGAAUUGACGG
RNAcentral lists this ribosomal RNA (413 nucleotides) under uncultured bacterium. RNAcentral's name for it is "bacterial SSU rRNA". It matches the Rfam family "Bacterial small subunit ribosomal RNA", at positions 505 to 916 of the family's 1533-position model. The record is from RNAcentral.